UCUGCUCACUUAUUAGUAACUUUCUCGAUGCUGCAGUUGUAUAAUUGAUCUUUUGAUCUGAGAUGACACUACUGCUCACAGUGAGACUGCUGGAGUUUGACUGACACAUCAACAUGAAUCUCAAAGAGCCCUUGUAGUGGAUGUUGGCGACAGUUGAUCUACUGUAGGAGUGGGGUAUGCAUCAAGAUGGGAUCUAUCGACCCUAGCAAAAGGGAGUAGUCCUAUGAGAUUUAAGAGACCGAGUCUUUAAGUCUAUGGCCGUAGCGGUGUGAUUAAUGAAAAAAAUUUUCAUAGAAUCACAUAUGGACUUAAGCUGAUUGAAUCUAUCAUAUGACCGAUGUUGAGGUUUGACGAUUUAUCCAUGACCUGCCAUCUAGUCGGAACUUAUGAUAGAGAGAUUGAAUCACACGUUAACUACACCUAGAGGUUCAUUUCAAUUCUACUGGAUUGCCACUACAUACUGCUAGAUGUCAUUGAUGGAUUGUGAGAGCUCAUUAGGGUUGUUCCGGAUCAACAAUCCUUUUGAGUUAGAGUGAAAUUAUUCCGAUCCAUUGAAAAUAGUUUCAAUGAUACGAUGAUAGAGAUCAUUAUAUGUCUCACUACCAGAUAGAAUUGAACCUAUGAGGUCACACAACAAAGAAAUUAAGCCUGGAAUAAGUAAUUGAGCUUAUGAAGUGUC
Molecule: long non-coding RNA, 679 nt
Filed under: Elaeis guineensis (African oil palm)
Lineage: Eukaryota; Viridiplantae; Streptophyta; Magnoliopsida; Arecales; Arecaceae
Description: long non-coding RNA (EGUI_LNC076780)
Source: RNAcentral